This 453-nucleotide unclassified non-coding RNA is filed under the name Euryops virgineus. RNAcentral describes it as "partial contains external transcribed spacer and 18S ribosomal RNA". Lineage: Eukaryota; Viridiplantae; Streptophyta; Magnoliopsida; Asterales; Asteraceae. The record is from RNAcentral.
AAAGGUGCAUGAGUGGUGUUUGGUUUUGUACGGGUGGUUGGCUCUUUGCUUGCGCAACAACUUCCACCUGGCAUACCUCUUCAGUUUUGGGUCAAUGCUUGUUUCGCUUGAGCAUAUUGGGGGUUUCCUGUGCUGCCUACCUAGUUGACGGUAUAGUUUUGAUUUAUCGAAGUCCCUUUUCAUCUUGUGUUGCUUUUGUGACUCGUGGUGAACCUUGAAGCGGUCUCUAUGAUCCAUCCUGUUGAUGCACAUGCAUUGAUGGUGUGGCCUAUUGAGUGUUGCUUGGUAUCCUGGAUACAGAACAUGAAGUGGGCAUGGGGUCUUUUAUGGCUCUUGUAUUGUCCUCGUUCAGUGUUCUUUUAAACGACGGUUCAUGCGCGCCUAGGCUCGUACCUGCGUGAUGUACUUUGUCGAAGAGGAAUGCUACCUGGUUGAUCCUGCCAGUAGUCAUAU